Long non-coding RNA from Gadus morhua (Atlantic cod), 1882 nucleotides. RefSeq lists it as uncharacterized. The transcript is spliced from 3 exons. Lineage: Eukaryota; Metazoa; Chordata; Actinopteri; Gadiformes; Gadidae. The record is from RefSeq and is a predicted model, not a curated record.
ACGUUGAAAUGGCCACAGACCCACAGUAAUGCGUUCACGGUUUGUUUUGUGACCACAUUUGGGCAGAGCACUACCACGCUACAUUCCCCAGGGUGCAGCGGCCCGCUGGACACUAAGAACUGCUGAAACCAUCAGUUUGUCUGCUAAUUGAUUUGGGUCGGUCAGACUCCUCCCCACUCAUUGUCAUUCAUAUGUGAAACCGAAGGCCCAGCGGACAAGGAAUAGUCUGCCACCGAAAAUCAGGAAGGCGGACUGCUGGGAAAUUCCAUCCAAACGGAAAACCUUCCUCUUGAAUCUCCGUAUGGCUGAAGAGUGAAUACUUGAGGCAGAGGAGGAUGAGGAGGAUCAACAUAAAUGAACAGGGAGGAAGGGUGUUGACAACAUGUUGUUGGGAGAAACUUCCUUACCAAAUAUCUCUCCCAAAAGACUAGAGAUCUCACAGGGCCUGAGUUCUAGUCCAUGCGUUCUAUAACUCGAUUUUGUACUCUGCUUUUCAUCUGCUUUCAAAAACACGAUGUAUGAGAUGAAAAUAUAUUGCUCUCUGUGGAAGCCAAGUCAAAGCAGAGAGAGAAGAGGGAUGGAGAAAAAGAUGUGUUCAGAGAGGAAGCCAUAGAGAGAGAGAAACAGGCAGAGAGAGCUAGAGGACGAAACGUUCAGAAUGAGAGUGACAGCGAGAGGAUCAGAAAGCAAGAGAGAGAGGGAUAAAGAGAAGGAUGGAGAGAUAUAGGUUCAGAGAGAGGAAGGGACUGGUUCAGAAAGAGAGAGAGGUUUGAAAUAAGAGAGAGAGAGGGAGAGCGAGAGAUUUGAGAUUUUACAAAACAACUUUAUUUACAUAUUAGUUAAAUUUCAUGAACAUUAAUAAAGUGCAAUUUGUGUGUGUCUCUUCUGUUAAAAGUAAAUUAUCUUUUAAAAAUGUGUACAAACAGCAAGUCCACACUAGAACAGACAAUGUUUUUAUAGCACCAGCGAUUUUUAAAAGUGUCCAAAUCUCCAAUAUUUUUAUAAAAUGUGUACUCCAGCCACAGCCUGGCCCUGAUGUUGCAAAGCCAGACUGUGCGUGAAUCCUGUCCUUUGUUUUCCACACGUUUUUUUCUACUAAUGUAGAUUGCCAUUUUUGCUUCCCCCGAGAGAUAAUUUAAUAAUUGCCACUUGUCCUUUCCUUCUUUUUUGUACCCAGCCCCCAUGAUAAACAUUCUCAGAGAAAUUGACACCAAACCAAUUAAAAACCAAUGCUAAAAGAGUGUAAAACUGUGUGAUCUCCCACUCAGGAAAAACGUGAAUAACUGUCUCAGAGAUUAAAAAAAGGACACAUGCUCAAAACAGAUGAAUUAAUAACAGAAAUAAAAGAAUUGGAGGCGAUGGCACCAUGUAAAAAUCUCCAUUGGUGGUCGGCAGUCCACUUCUUGAGGGGAGGUUUAUAAAACAACUUCCACUGUGGGCUGGGCCCAUUGCGCCCCCUAACCUGUUGGUCCACACAGUGGGGGGGCGAUCGGGCCCAUUGCGCCCCCUAACCUGUUGGUCCACACAGUGGGGGGGCGAUCGCUCAGACCAGCUCGGUUGACGCUCUUCACGCAGUUUGCAUAGACAGUUUCUUUAUCAUCCCUGUUUACUGAGAGCCUAUUUGGGCAACAGGGAGUGAGCAGGGGGCCUGUCAGCUCUCCUACCACGGGGCUCAGGUGGACAUCAGGAGCCAGCGGGGUCUGGUGUGGCUCCCCCUAGGUUGUAGUCCAUCAGAAGGCUUUUUUCUUGGUGGUCAGCAGGGGUGGACUGGUCAUCUGGCAUACCGGGCAUCGUCCCGGUGGGCCGUUGACCCAAUGUGGGCCGGUCCGGUCCGCUAUGUUUUGUUUUUUUCUCUCUCUCUAAAUUCCCUCCAAUUGGGCCG